This 535-nucleotide ribosomal RNA is filed under the name Fusarium illudens. Its description in RNAcentral is "LSU rRNA". It matches the Rfam family "Eukaryotic large subunit ribosomal RNA", at positions 66 to 624 of the family's 3401-position model. The record is from RNAcentral. Lineage: Eukaryota; Fungi; Ascomycota; Sordariomycetes; Hypocreales; Nectriaceae.
CAACAGGGAUUGCCCCAGUAACGGCGAGUGAAGCGGCAACAGCUCAAAUUUGAAAUCUGGCUCUCGGGCCCGAGUUGUAAUUUGUAGAGGAUGCUUUUGGUGCGGUGCCUUCCGAGUUCCCUGGAACGGGACGCCAUAGAGGGUGAGAGCCCCGUCUGGUCGGACACCAAGCCUCUGUAAAGCUCCUUCGACGAGUCGAGUAGUUUGGGAAUGCUGCUCUAAAUGGGAGGUAUAUGUCUUCUAAAGCUAAAUACUGGCCAGAGACCGAUAGCGCACAAGUAGAGUGAUCGAAAGAUGAAAAGAACUUUGAAAAGAGAGUUAAAAAGUACGUGAAAUUGUUGAAAGGGAAGCGCUUGUGACCAGACUUGGGCUCGGUUGAUCAUCCAGGGUUCUCCCUGGUGCACUCCUCCAGCCUAGGCCAGCAUCAGUUCGCCGCGGGGGAAAAAGGUAGCGGGAAUGUGGCUCCCUCCGGGGAGUGUUAUAGCCCGUUGCGUAAUACCCUGGGGCGGACUGAGGUUCGCGCAUUCGCAAGGAU